CUGUCAGUGAGAUGACACCACCACUUCUAGACCAUAAGUGCAUUUCAGUACACUCUUGAGUGAGAUUAAAUAAUGAACAGCUUGCUCCUCUGCUUCUAGGUACCAUGGCAAACAGCAGCUGCGCUGGGGGCAGUGGGUAAGAAAAGGCUUCAUAGAGACUUGAGGGACCUGAUAAAGAUGGAGAAGUUAACUCCAUCAUCCAUAACAGGAAAGUAGAAAAGCUGCAGCUGUCAGUGCCAGGUGAGUCCCUAGAUACCAUGAAUGAGGUAAACUAUUUUCAAAAACAUCUUUACUCAUGGUUGAAACCAAAAAGGAGGACAUAUGACCACACACAGACUAUGUUGUAUUCAUUAAAAAAUACAGUAUUUAUUCAGAUAGAAAACAUAGAAAAUGCAACAGAAAUUUGAUGUGAAUAAAUAUACAAAAAAUGGAUGUAUGCUGUUUACUCUGUGCCCAGUGGUAAUAAUGAGCAGCAGGCAACACUGAAGGUAGCUCCGCUAUCUGCUCAGGACCUUUAUUUGGCUUGGGACACCGUUCCUCCUGAGCAGCAACCAAGGCAUUAAUGACCUCUUCAGGGAAGACUACAGAUACUUAUCCUCCCCAGUAAACCCUUGUUGUGUCAGAGGACUACCGAAAACUGUUGAGUGUCAUCCAUGCCUGCUUUUUCAGUCAAGAAAGCUGACCGCCUCACAGGCAGAAAACAGAAUUUCAGCCUUAUGGCCAGGCAUUGCAGCAGCUUCUCUCUCUUACUCGGAUGAGUACAAAUUUUCACAAGGCCUGUGGAGCACAGAGCUGUCCCACAUCACACCCACAACCUUGCCUGAGGCUGUUGAGUAGGUUGGACACACUGCUUACAGAGGAGUGGGACUGGUGAGAGGCCUCCCUCAUGUGAACAUGGCUGUCAGGAGCUGACACCACCAGGUGACACGAGGCCUAGAAGAGCCCAGGGACCUGCAUGCCCCACCAUGUCUGUUAGAUGUGCGUACAGCUUGCAAAAACAGAAAAAGGAGGUGGGAUAUCAAGCUUGCAAGGAAUAUCUCUCUUAUUUACCAAACUCAUCUUCAUCACAAAGGAAGGACAUUGCGUGACAAAGCAAGUACUGGAAUGGAGAAAAGAUUUUAAGAGAUUGGCAGGUGAAAGCAGAAUGCUGUUGGAAGUGACACAUAUGCACCUUUCCCCCAGUGCUUCUGAAAUAGAGGAGAUUUGCGGUGUAUAUUUUUGACAGGACAACAAAAAAUAAGGCCUGAUUAAAUGAAUCUGUGACUUGUUUCCACCUGCAAAGUGGGCCUCCCCAGACUGAGCAAACUGGAAGUGACUCAUAAUCACAAUCAAGGAAUAAUGAAGUUCUUAUAAGAAUUACCUAUCUAAUCAGCAGGGAUCUGGACUUGACAACCCAGGCCUGCCCGACUGAAAUAGACUUUAUCUGCCAAUGUGAGGAGCAUGAAAACAGGAAAAAGAGAACCGUCUGAUAGAUAUUUUAGCAUGUGCCUCCUCUUUGUACCCAUUAGCUUACAAUCUGAUGGCCGUAUUUGGUAGACCAGAAAAUUCUGAUGUAUGUCUCUCAAGGACAUGCCUAACAUCUUGUUCAUGUAAGUGACUUCUUGCUCGUGUAAGUGUCUUGACCCAACUGCACAAAAUAAAUAAAUAAAUAAAUAAAUAAAUAAAAGUUUA
RNAcentral lists this long non-coding RNA (1671 nucleotides) under Anas platyrhynchos platyrhynchos (common mallard). RNAcentral describes it as "lncRNA (ENSAPLG00000023821.1)". The record is from RNAcentral. Lineage: Eukaryota; Metazoa; Chordata; Aves; Anseriformes; Anatidae.